GGGGCGAGUAAAGCGGCGCACGGGUGCGUAACACGUGGAUAACCUGCCUGGAAGUCCGGAACAACCUUCCGAAAGGAGGGCUAAUACCAGAUAAGACCACGGGGACUUUGGUCCUUGAGGUAAAAAGACAGCCUCCGCAUGCAAGCUGUCACUUCUAGAGGGGUCCGCGGCCCAUCAGCUAGUUGGCGGGGUAACGGCCCACCAAGGCGACGACGGGUAGCUGGUCUGAGAGGACGAUCAGCCACACUGGAACUGAGACACGGUCCAGACUCCUACGGGAGGCAGCAGUGGGGAAUUUUGCGCAAUGGGCGAAAGCCUGACGCAGCAACGCCGCGUGAGUGAUGAAGGUCUUCGGAUCGUAAAGCUCUUUCGGCUGGGACGAAAACGGAUGGGUUAACAGCCCGUUCCUUGACGGUACCGGAAGAAGAAGCACCGGCUAACUCUGUGCCAGCAGCCGCGGUAAUACAGAGGGUGCAAGCGUUGUUCGGAAUUAUUGGGCGUAAAGCGCGUGUAGGCGGCGGAGCAUGUCGGGUGUGAAAGCCCUCGGCUUAACCGAGGAAGUGCGCCCGAAACUGCUCUGCUAGAGUGCUGGAGAGGGUAGCGGAAUUCCCGGUGUAGAGGUGAAAUUCGUAGAUAUCGGGAGGAACACCAGUGGCGAAGGCGGCUACCUGGACGGACACUGACGCUGAGACGCGAAAGCGUGGGGAGCAAACAGGAUUAGAU
This 723-nucleotide ribosomal RNA is filed under the name uncultured Cystobacterineae bacterium. Its description in RNAcentral is "bacterial SSU rRNA". It matches the Rfam family "Bacterial small subunit ribosomal RNA", at positions 83 to 783 of the family's 1533-position model. The record is from RNAcentral. Lineage: Bacteria; Pseudomonadati; Myxococcota; Myxococcia; Myxococcales.